This is a long non-coding RNA of Gallus gallus (chicken), 3481 nucleotides long. RefSeq lists it as uncharacterized. The record is from RefSeq and is a predicted model, not a curated record. Lineage: Eukaryota; Metazoa; Chordata; Aves; Galliformes; Phasianidae. The transcript has 2 exons.
ACAACCUCCUUGGGCACCCUGCUCCAGUGCGUCACCACCCUCGGGGUGAAAAACUUCUUCCUCCUAAUAUCUAACCCAAACCUCCCCUGCCUCAGUUGAAAACCAUUCCCCCUUGUCCUAUCGCUACCCACCCUCGUAAGCAGCCGUUCCCCGUCCUGUUUAUACGCUCCCUUCAGGUACUGGAAGGCCACAGUGAGGUCCCCCCGGAGCCUUCUCUCCUGCGAGCUCAACAGGCCCAGUUCCCUCAACCUUUCUUCAUAGGAGAGGUGCUCCAGCCCUCUGCUCAUCCUAGUGGUCCUGCUCUGGACCCGUUCCACGAUCGCUUCUUGUGCUGGGGGCCCCAGGCCUGGGCGCAGUACUGCGGAUGGGGCCUCGCAAGAGCCGAGUAGAGGGGGACAAUCACCUCCCUCUCCCUGCUGGCCACCCCUUUCUUAGUGCAGCCCAGAGCACCGUUGGCCUUCCGGGCUGCAGGCGCGCACUGCUGGCUCACGUCCAGCUUCUCGUCCACCAGGACCCCCGGGUCCUUCUCCGCAGGGCUGCUCUCAAGGAGCUCUUCCCCCACUCUGAAGCGGGCAUUCUUUUCUUAUGGCGCUGACGCAUGGGGGAUCGCUCCGCCCAACUGCGCGCAAAAGAGCUUCAGCUGAUGCGUGUCUCUUGUGUCGUGCAUGUCAAGGUUUUCCCAGACGGCACGCACGUACUCAGUACUUUCCCUGACAUCACUAACGUAGGGUUCUGCGUCCUUGCACGUGCUCGGUCUUUCUGUGGUGGCGGUCCUAAUCGGUGCCUCCGACCUUCGAUGGUCUUCCACGAUCGCUCUCCUCCGCAUUGCUGGGUGGUUGAAAUCCUCCUUCCGGAGGAGAGCUUGGAGCAUGACGGCCCUUGUAGCUGAAGCCAGGCGGCCUCAUCAGCGGGCCGGGGUAGCGCUCUUCACCUCUGUCAGUACGGCGGUGGACGCACCGGCGAGGGCCGAGACCUGUGCCCCUUCGGGGGAAUCCCCGGGGGCGUCUGGUGCAUCCACUCGGGCAGAUAUGGCAAGAAAGCGAAAAUCUACCUGAUGGCGCUGGAAGGGCGGCACUGCCCGCGGCCGGCCUCCCUUUGCUAUUUGCUUCGUUUCUUCUUCGCUUCAGCACGCGGGGCAGACAUCAGGAAUGCAAAUGACUGAUAAAGCAAGCAUCAGCCGUUUCCAACGUUAGAAAUGUUGUUAGAAAGAAAGGCUUCAGGAAGCGGUGGCGCAUUCUCCCGUGGGCAGCGGUGAGGACAAAGGAGUGACAAGCAAGUAUACAUAAAGGUACAUUUUAUUAACGACUUACUCCUAUCGCUGGCAUCCAACAGUAAAAUGGGCAAAAGCCCAACCCGAGGCACGAGGCAGGGAAAUGGAAUCAAAGGGAAACCGGCAGAUGGUCGCUCUCUCUUCCCCUCCCCUUCCGUUCCAGGAAAGGAAACCAGGCCUUCCAGGCUUUGCUGUUUCACUCCACGAUGAGAGGGGUUGUGUAGAGGGAAUGCCGGAUUCCAAACGUGGAUGCAGGCGCCUGGGGCUUGAUCAGCGUCACCUGGAAGGGCGAAAAGGAAAGGCAGGUCAGCGAGGGCCCUUCUCUCCUCUGCUGCCCUCGCUCCCUGCUGUCCCGCACCCCUUCCGAUCCCAGACAGUCCCUGGUGCCUCUCCGGGCAGGGCUGAACGCCAGCGCAAAGCCGGUGCAGCUCCCUGCUGGAGCAGAGCUGGCUCGGGGAGGUGGGCUUACGGGCACCUCCUGUCUCGGAGCGGGCCGGGUGUGCAGCUGGGAGCUCGCAGCUAACUCUCUCUCCUAUGCUGGGGGCAUGCUGCUUGGAGCCCUUCUGAGCUGCGUCCCCCAGAAGAGCUUGGGAAGGACCAGCGCGUCCCAUUGAAGGGAAAAGGAGCAGAGGGAGGAAAAGCUGCGUGCUGUGCUGUCCCUCCCUCCCUCCCUCUGCUCGCAGGUGGCACGAGGGCAGGGGGCAGGCCUGCUGUCCUGCACUUGGUCCCUGCGGCCAGGAGCUCUUGGGCUGGAGGAAGCCUCAGGGGAAGGGGGAGAGGCGUGAAGGCCGCGCUUGUGAAACAGAGGGGAAGAGCUGAGCAGCUGCCUUACCCGGCCUACGCUGUAGUCUGCCGGCCCGGGCUUCGCUGCUUUGCCCUCUCCAGCUUUUGGUCGGGCUGCCAUCGUGUACGCGGGCGCCCUGGUCUUGUAGGCAUCCACAGGCACUUUGGGGAGCGCCGCAGGACCCGGAGUCUGCAAGAGAGUCACGACCAUACAGGGCUGGGGUCACAUUCAAGGCUCUCUCUUUCCCCGGCAGUCUGCGUUAAGCAAAGUUGCAGCAGGCUUGGAAGCCCCUGUGGCACAGGGGGAGCAGCCCAGGUUCGGAUGCUAACGCGGAAAAGAGGAGCGGCAGAGCUCACCUUGGCAAGGUCUUCGUCAAACCGACCUCGCUGGCUCCUUCCCCUCACAGAGUAGCAGGGGCUGGCCGAUGUGUAGACUGUGUUGGGCCCCAUCAGCCUGGGCAGCGUGUAGGUGCCAGGACCUGCAGGAGGAGCAGCAGAGAGCGUGUGCGCGAGGGGCUGGAGGAGACGGAAGCAGCAGAGAGGGGCAGCCUGCCCAGCCUGCUGGUGGGAGCAGGAGGGAGGUCUCGCCCCUCUGCCAGUUCCUCCCUCUACUCUGGCACUGGGCCAGCGCCAGCAGCUCCGAGCCUGAGCAGCCGCAGCCGCUGCGGGCCCAGAGGUGUUGGUCGUGCAAGAAAGCUUGCGGCCCCAGCGCCGCGUCCUGCCGCGCAGGCUGUGCAGUAGGCCCGCUGCUGGUGCUGAGCAGCAGCCCGUCCCUGCGGGAUGCUCAGGCUGAAGGGUCUGCCUUUGCCAGGGUCAGCGUACCUGGAGGGUGGUCUGUCCGGAGGGGCUCCCGCCGGAAGGCCAUGGACUGCACCGGUGGGCACUUGAAGACGUGCCUGUUGGCUGCCUCGGUGCGGUAGUCACCUGGGGCGGAAGAGAAGAGGAAGAAAGCCGUGAAGCGCCGGUCUUCUUCUUCUGCAACCGCACAGGCACUGUCCCGAGGAAAGGGUCUUCUCAAGAGCUGCAGAAUUGCCGCUGGGGGACACAGGCAGCACGCGGGGACGCUCUUCUGUGCCCCGCCGCUAUGCCCUGCCUUGCUGUCCCUCCCGUCAGCCCCCUGCCGCUUGUUCUUUUUGGACACGGGGUCCUUGUGCCCUCGGCCCGUGGCCCUGGGCAGCUGUCCUUCUCCGAGGGCGUUUAUCGCUGCUCAGAGCGGUUUGCGUUCUCUCAAAAAAGACCUACAGCUCCAUCAGGGCGCGAGCUGGCCCCGGGCAAACGCGCCGCCCGCUCGUCUUGUCUGGGUGAAGUGCUGCACAAGUGGUACUCACUUGGUCCGGGAGUGACGGUGGUCUUCGUCGCGGGUCGUCCCCGGAGCUGGGCGCCCGGAGCCACGUACUUCCCGUUCCUGGUGAUGGCGGGCUCCACAAA